ACGCUCGACACCUACGGGAGGUAGCAGUGGGGAAUAUUGCACAAUGGGGGAAACCCUGAUGCAGCGACGCCGCGUGAGCGAAGAAGUAUUUCGGUAUGUAAAGCUCUAUCAGCAGGGAAGAAAGUGACGGUACCUGACUAAGAAGCACCGGCUAAAUACGUGCCAGCAGCCGCGGUAAUCUGAGCGGCUGGCAAGGC
RNAcentral lists this ribosomal RNA (197 nucleotides) under uncultured bacterium. RNAcentral's name for it is "partial 16S ribosomal RNA". It matches the Rfam family "Bacterial small subunit ribosomal RNA", at positions 328 to 539 of the family's 1533-position model. The record is from RNAcentral.